Long non-coding RNA from Osmerus eperlanus (European smelt), 3179 nucleotides. RefSeq lists it as uncharacterized. NCBI's taxonomy places the organism in Eukaryota, Metazoa, Chordata, Actinopteri, Osmeriformes, Osmeridae. The transcript is spliced from 3 exons. The record is from RefSeq and is a predicted model, not a curated record.
ACAACCCGCCCUGCUGAGUUCAGAACUCAGUUGCCGCUGGCACUAGUAUCGGUGCCGGGCACAGAAACAAAACAGUACCCAUGAAUAAACACCAAAACAGGCGGAAAUAUUCAGGGGUUUAACGGAAACAAAAACACAAUGUACUGUAUACUUCAUUGAAAAGACUGCUGGUCAGUGUAACCGAAGGACCAUAUCAGUUUCUUGCUUUCUUUCGUAUUGGCGUCCAGAUGGAUGAGUCAUUGGUCAGUAAUCCUCGGGUCCCUCUCUAGCUGUAGCUGUAGCAGGAGCUGGAGAAGUAGUUCCUAGUAUAUCCUACAAGGUAUGUUAUUGGAGGAGGAGAGAAGCUCUAUUUCUGGAGCACUGCCCCUCACGUGGCUUCCUGCAACACAAGACGGCCGUUGUCAUGGUGAGGGUGGACAGAGAGAACCAGAGCAGUGGACGUUUGGCGGGAAAACCUUGUGCCCUGGAAACCUGCCUUUGUUUACCUUGUUACAGGAGGACGGAAAAGCUACCGUCCGAGACUUCACAGCUCACUGAACAUACUGUACACACAACAAACCCACACGAAAACACACCCACACACAAGUGCAUCAUGAUCUGAUCAUAAAUCUGUUUUAUCACUCUAGAUUAGGAGUGUUGCCGGCGCAGCGCCAGAUGAAAGAGAUAUUUUAUUGCCCGGUUGUGUUCAACUGUAAGAGGGAAUUACAUGGGACUGUUGCGCUUUGUUUCAUCUUGAGCAGUGAGGAAAGAAAUAAACCUCCUGGCAAACACUGUGACCACACCUUGGACAAACGUCCGGGUCUUUAUAAUGCAGCUUAUCUCUAUAACGUUGAAUCAAACAACAUCCGGACAACCUCUUGCUCACCGUCACAUUAGAACAAAAGCAGUCCGGCGGUGGGAAACAGGUGACUGUAAACACACACAGUCCUGAGCAAGGGAGCGCUGCUGCUGGGAGGAAACAGGUCAGCUGAUGGUGUUAUGUACCCCCGCCCCCCCCCCCCCCUCUCUCUCUCUCUCUCUGUUCCUUAAGUGCUCUCUUUUUUCUUUAUGCUCUUUCUCUCAAUGUCACAUUAGGCACUGGAAAUAAACUCUUGGAGGAUACUGAGGUCACAACUGGUUACCCAUAAUCCCCGGCGGGGUGACACGCCUGCCUUUGAGUGGUCACGAGUUGCUCACCCUGGCAGUUUACUAUCAAACUGAUAAAGCUGCCAGGACAAAUAACGCUAUCAGCGCUGAUAAUGUUGAAAAGGAAAUUUCAUUACCUUUACCUGGAUGACAAUUGACUGUGAAAAUCAACUGCCAAGACCCAGUAUUUAAACAUAUCUUCUAUUGUCAAAAGGUACUCCUUGUGAUUAGUUAAACCAAUCUAAUACGUCCUCAAUCGCUGCCUUGAACGUGCUUGUGUUGAGUGUUUAUUAUGAACACCCUUACUGACAUGUUUUAUGAGGUUUCAGUCUCCUCAGUAUUUGUUAUCUCCAAAGACAGACAUUCCCAAGAAGACAACAUCAACAACAUAUCUCAACCUUAGAGGCUGGGCUGAAGAGAGAGAAGGAAAGGGGGAGACAGGGAGGGAAGGAAAGGGGGAGACAGGGAGGAUUUGAUAUGAAUCAGUUUGUUACGUCAGGCAGAAAAACAGCCUGUUAGCUGCCAAGCCAUCAUCUAACGGGCAGGUGAUGCAGCUGCCCGGACUGCUUCCAGUAAGAGGAGCUGUCUGUUUUGCUGACAUCACCAUGACUAACACCAGGAGGGUGGCGGGGCCAGAUGAACUCCAGCUCCCCUAUAGUGAUACAGACUUCAACUACACAAGGGCAGAUAGGAAAACACACACACACACACACAUGCAGUAAACAACAACAGCUGCCAUCCACAGUAUGUACGUAACUCACAUUGGCGAUCACUCAGCCAUCUUGUCUAUCUCUUCGCUGCACUAAACAUAGCUCUGUAACUGUAUCCUGCUCAAUGAAGGUGUGUGUGUGUCCGUGUGUUUUGAUGUUAUUGUGGGUACAAGGGUGUGAUUGGGUAAUGACAGCACCUGAGGGGAGGGUGGGUUGCAGAUGGGUUAAGUGUUUCUCUAUUCAGGUCCAGGUGACUGAUGCUGUGACUGUAUAAGCUCACUUUUCUGAACUAACAAUACCCACCAGUUUUUAGGAUAAUGUCCACCCUAAGCCAUGAGGAGGAAUCUAUGCAGGGAAACUGAAGUGGGAUGAGUCAGUUAGCUGGUCUGUCCUUGCACACAAUGGACCAACAGAUGCUCUGCUGCUCCAGUAAUUCAAUAUAUUGGUAUUAUAGUAGCAGCAGAGACACACAUACACACACAGAGAGAGAGAGAGAGAGAGAGAGAGAGAGAGAGAGAGAGAGAGAUCCAAGAAGAGAGAGACAUACACAUUCCCAUUCACUUAAACACACAAUUGUUCCAUAAUAGCUCAACGGUGCCUGUUGGAAAAUAACAAUAUGUUCCAUUGAGCUGUUCAUGGAGACAGCUGAAUCACGAGCCAGCCUACAGUAAUGUGUGAAUAUGUGUGUCAGCAUUAUGUUAGAGAGGGGUGUGUGUGUGUGUACAGUCUCUGUUUUCAUUUUGAAUCGUUCCUCCCUUUUGUAUUUGGAGGAAAGUUGACAACCCUUUCCACUUGCAUGCCUGUGGUCCACCACCUCACUGUUCGGGACAGCUCACAGUGACUGGAUCGCAGACAGCCAUGUGCCUUUGAGGUUAGCAGAAGCCAUCCCUGGCAGGAGUCUGGAGGUGAGUCACCAACACAUGAACACAUCAGAGAGAGAGUGACCACACACUGAGUCACCCCCCUCUCUCUCCCUUCACAUCCCCAAGGACACAGCCUGGCGGAGACCACUUAUUGCCCUGCUAUCGCUGUCAGUUAUCAGGCAACAUCAAACAGGCAAACACUUCCGAGUGGAAUGGAAUGGAGUUUGAGGAGAGAUGGAGGGAUCGGCAUUGAUCUAAUUCUCAGCCGGGGCACAUUUGUGUCCCUGCUGUGUCUGUAUCAUUUACACUGUUUCAGAACACAGGAAACAGGAAACCAGCCACAAUGCAACGUGAGCAAGAAGGAUCCACUUGAUUUAUGAAUGAGUUCAAAGUUACCAAUCUUUAAAUGUUUGUGUUUAAUAAACUAAUGGUUGGGUACUGAAUCCAUGAAUUUCAAUGCUUCAGCAACAGGAAAUAAAUA